CCGACUACGCUGUUGCCACCCAAAAAGGUAGAAAAAAAAGCCACACUCAUUUGAAAAUUCCAAACCAACCAAAUUUAUGGGAAUUGAAUUUCCAACUUCUAUGGAAGAAAGAUCAAGACCAUUGAACACAUGUAAGAAAAUGUGUACACCGAAUAAUGUUUCAUCAUAUCAUACAAUUUGCCGAUAUCAUUUCAAUUACAAUAUUGUGAUUUUCAACUUUGGUAAUGUGAGAUCUCAAUUUGCCGACACCAAGUGAACUUCACAUCGAUUCCUCUUGGUCUUCGAGGGACCGCUUCCGAGCUCUCAAGUUAAGCUCAAGGCUUUGAGGUAGAGGAGGUGUCCUCCCCCUUCGGAAUAGAACAGCCAGAGCCCUCAUCUUAUGGCAAAGAUCAAAUACUGAUGAGGCUUCAAUUUCUGCAACACCUUCACAACCUUUACCUCCUCCUUGCAGUAAAUCACAAUAUCUUGCAGCUUCAUUCUCAUCUUCAAAUACAAGCACGCCCUCCUGAAUAUCUUCCACAAGCAUCCGGAACUUUGCACCUGUUCUGGAUUGUUUAGCCUGAUUUCCCCUUCCAGACCUCCAUUUUCCUCCUUUGGAAAAUAGUAGCCCAAGCUCCCUCUCAACUUCGCUGCGAUUUCUUCGAGUUUUCAUUGUGCACAACUGGUUUUCUCUGUGGGUUAGUACAUAUACAGGCUUUGAGGCUUCUCUCCAUGGGUUGGCCUCCAAUACAUCAUAGCUGCUGCUAUCAAACGAUUGUUGAAGAUGUCUUCGCAUAUCAUAAGCACGGGAAGACACCUGCUUGACGAACUCAUUGGAAGACCCAGGAAUGGUGCCAUCCAAGUGAAGCGCUCUCUCCACGUCUUCUCCUCCAUCAUCUUCUUCCGCUUCUUCGGGAUGUUUAGCCCCAUCAUCGGUAAAUUUACACGAAACUUGUCUCCAUCUUCUCCUCCUCGAAGGACCAGAACAAUUGGAUAAAGCAAACGAAGUGGAAAGGCGGGGAAGAAGACGGUGGCUACGAGAUGAGAAAGAAGAGGAGGUAAGGAGUAGACGACGUCGGAGAUGGAGGGGAUUACUGGGAGGGAGAACCAUGGAAGGAGAAACUGAUGCAAGUGAAUCCAUGAUUGAAGGAAAAUUGCAGUUGGCUUCUGGAUUAGAUCACUGAGUCUCUUUCAGUAACGAUUAAGUUAAAGUUAUGAUGAUUAUAAAGGAAAAGCAAAUAAAAAUAUAGUGCAAUGGGUGUUUGAUUGGCGCCAAUGUGGAAGAACAAGAAAGAAGGAGGAGACGCGGAGAGAGAAAUUCUCUGCGUGAAAGAUACUAUAACUGGGACAGGAGGUUGUUGGCAAUGGAGAAAGAACAGGGGAAGUUGGCUUUGUGAACCUGGGGGAUAUUUUUGGAGGUGUGGGGUCCUUUGUUGGCAAUGGAGAAAGAACAGGGGAAGUUGGCUUUGUGAACCUGGGGGAUAUUUUUGGAGGUGUGGGGUCCU
Molecule: unclassified non-coding RNA, 1484 nt
Filed under: Hevea brasiliensis (rubber tree)
Lineage: Eukaryota; Viridiplantae; Streptophyta; Magnoliopsida; Malpighiales; Euphorbiaceae
Source: RNAcentral